This 392-nucleotide ribosomal RNA is filed under the name uncultured bacterium. RNAcentral describes it as "partial 16S ribosomal RNA". It matches the Rfam family "Bacterial small subunit ribosomal RNA", at positions 523 to 918 of the family's 1533-position model. The record is from RNAcentral.
AUACGGAGGGGCAAGCGUUAAUCGGAAUUACUGGGCGUAAAGCGCACGUAGGUUGUCCUGUAAGUCAGGGGUGAAAGCCCGCGGCUCAACUGCGGAACUGCCCUUGAUACUGCAGGACUCGGAUCCGGGAGAGGUCAGCGGAAUUCCAGGUGUAGGAGUGAAAUCCGUAGAUAUCUGGAGGAACAUCAGUGGCGAAGGCGGCUGACUGGACCGGCAUUGACGCUGAGGUGCGAAAGCGUGGGUAGCAAACAGGAUUAGAUACCCUGGUAGUCCACGCUGUAAACGAUGGAUGCUAGGUGUCGGGGCGCAAGCUCCGGUGCCGCAGCUAACGCAUUAAGCAUCCCGCCUGGGGAGUACGGUCGCAAGGCUGAAACUCAAAUGAAUUGGCGGGG